RNAcentral lists this transfer RNA (72 nucleotides) under Aedes aegypti (yellow fever mosquito). It matches the Rfam family "tRNA". Rfam says of the family: Transfer RNA (tRNA) molecules are approximately 80 nucleotides in length. Their secondary structure includes four short double-helical elements and three loops (D, anti-codon, and T loops). Further hydrogen bonds mediate the characteristic L-shaped molecular structure. tRNAs have two regions of fundamental functional importance: the anti-codon, which is responsible for specific mRNA codon recognition, and the 3' end, to which the tRNAs corresponding amino acid is attached (by aminoacyl-tRNA synthetases). tRNAs cope with the degeneracy of the genetic code in two manners: having more than one tRNA (with a specific anti-codon) for a particular amino acid; and 'wobble' base-pairing, i.e. permitting non-standard base-pairing at the 3rd anti-codon position. The record is from Rfam by way of RNAcentral. Lineage: Eukaryota; Metazoa; Arthropoda; Insecta; Diptera; Culicidae.
AGCUCGGUAGCUUAGUUGCUAAAGCGCUCGUCUAGUAUAUAAGAAUGCUGGGUUUGAAUCCCAGUCUAGUAC